RNAcentral lists this long non-coding RNA (2567 nucleotides) under Homo sapiens (human). RNAcentral describes it as "HSALNT0282099". Lineage: Eukaryota; Metazoa; Chordata; Mammalia; Primates; Hominidae. The record is from RNAcentral.
GAUCAUCAUAACACAAUGUCACCCCAGGGAGUGCCCACAUUUUAGCUUGCUUGUUGCUGGGGAAAAGACUUGCUGCUUUGUGUUUCAUUUGAUGAAGAGCUUCUUUUCAUUUAGUCAGUCACUUAUUUCCAGAGAUUUCCUGGUGAUGUUGCCUCACAUUUAUUUGUGGAAAUGCCAGUAUGUUUUAAGCUUGCAGCUUCCAUAAGUCAGGAUUCCAGUCACAGCUUAGCUGGAUCCUCUCAGAAGGCUACGAUCAAGGUGUCAGCCAGACUGAGUUCUCAUCAGAGGCUCGACUAGGAGAGGAUCUGCUUCCAAGUUCCCUCAGGUUGUUGGAAGGAUUCAUUUUCUUGUGGCUAAGCUCACAGGAGCUUUCUUCUUCAAGGGCAUCAGGAGAGUGGAGAGCGAGUCUACUCAAAGACUUCUAUACAAAUCAUAAGGUCAAACUCCCAAGAGUUUGAGGUCGAAUUUGAUGGAACACCCAGAUGUCCUCAGCUGCCAUGGAGAAUACUUACCAUAUUUGCUUGCAUAUUUUCCCUAUUAUACUGGCAGACACUUUUAGUUGUUAACAUAGAGGAAAGAGGUAUUUAGGUUGUAACUUCCUCAAGCAGUUCUUUCCACAUCAUGUAGCUCUGGUCCAUGCCAUGUGUGCCAAUGGUAACCAAACCUUUCAUCCUGACCAUCACUAACUGGAUUGGCGUCCCAGCCAAAAGCAACCAAUCUCUGUGGAGAAAAGAGAAGCCAACGUCCUCUGAGAAGUCUUUUGCAGGUUUUUUGUAUCAUGGUUAUAUUCAUAUCAUAAAAUGAAUUGGGAACCUCUGGUUUCAGCUCCAACAUGUAAAGAGCUUAGAAGUUGUCACUUCCACCCUUAUAAUAAGAAAAGCCUGAACAAACUGAAAAUCAAUGAUUUUUCUUGUACCCAUCAGAGAGCUGAAGUUGCAAGGUAGACCACCACUCUGAAAUUGGGAGAGACAGGCAAAUCCAGAGAAGUACAGCUAAUAUUUGCAUAUCUGGAGCAGAAGCCACUUGGAGCCAUAAACUGUUAGGAACACUUAAAUGGUAAUUUUGAUGGUAAUUUUGAUAAAUUGCUAGAGGCUGAGUGUGAACUAGCAUGAGACUGAGAAAUUUCCAGGGCCACCGUCUUAGUAGAGCCCUCAUAUUUUCAUGGAUUCUAUUUCCAAAAACCUCAUUAGUUUCUCCCCUACUGGCUCUGGUGGGGUAGAGCAGGGGGAGAAAAUAAAUCUUUAUGAAAUAAAACCAAUGUAUGCUCCAUAGCAAAGGCAUCUCCAGGGACAAACAGGCUUUUCCAGAGCCUUAUCCCACCUGGGCAAAGGGCAUUGAUCCCCCUCUACUUUCCUCUAGCCUUCCUGUCUCACCUAACAGGGAGGAAAAAGUGAAGACACAGGCACACCAAACAAGACCUGUGGCCACAGGAACACAGGCCCACCAAAAGGCUGAGAUUUCAUCAUAGGAUUAUAGAAUACUUUCAUUCUGCAUACUAAUAUGCUCCCGUAUAAUGAAAGUAGAUUACAUGGACAAGAAUUGAAUAUAGAGAAGCACAAAACAAAUUUGUUGAAGUGAUGGAAAUGUCUCAUGUCUUAAUUAGGGUGACAAUAUUCUGGGUGUAUAAAUCCAUCAAAACACAUAGAACUGUCAUCUUAAAUCUGUGCAUUUUAUUUUACCUAAAUUAUACCAAAAUAAAAAACAUAUAAUGGGAAAAAAUACAUUAUAGCAGAAAGAGCUAUAAGAUACAGACUCUCUCUGAGCAGGAGUACUUAGGGAAACCCAAAGUCAACAAAGGAGACAGAAACAAGGACGUUAAAGGAAUUUGAAGCCUUUGGCACCUACAGCCACCAUAAACAUUAAAGACAUCCUAGCUCCCAGCCAGAUUAAUAUAAAAGCUUACACUAAAGGGCUAUUUAGAUUAUGUCUGACUUUCAACAACAGAAUGAAUUGGGAAGCAGUUUUUCUUUUUCUGUUCUUUGAGUUUGGUUACAAUUGGUAUUAUUAAUUCUUUACAUAUUUGGCACAAUCCACCAGUGAAGCCACUUGAGUCUAGAGUUUUCUUUAUGGGAAGUCUUUCACUAGUGGAUUCAAUUGUUUUAACAAAUAUAAGACUACUCAAAUUUUCUUACAUUUUUAGUGUCAGUUUGGGUACAUUGUGUAUUUUAAGGAAUUUACUAUUCACUGAAGUGUCAAAUAUAUUAGUAUUAAGUUUUCUUUUAGCAUUAGUAAGAUCUAUAGUUAAUGUUUACUUCUUUAUUUUCAAUAUUAGUAAUGUGUUUCCUCUCAAACAGUUUUACUGGCAUGUUAUUAAUUUUGUUAAACUUUUCAGAUAUCACUUUUGGCUAUUUUGAUGUUUUCUAUUCUAUUUUUUAUUUCACGACAUUUUCCUGGUGUCUUUAUUUUUACUUCCUUCUAUUUCCCUUGGAUUUUAUUUGAUGGUCUUUUUCUAGCUUUUUGAGAUAAAAGCUUAGAUCAUGAAUUUUUGGCUUUUAUUCUUUUCUAAUAUAUGUAAAUAAAACUAUAACUUUUCCUCUAAACUCUAUAGCUGCAUCUCACAAAUUUUC